AGAGUUUGAUCAUGGCUCAGGAUGAACGCUAGCUACAGGCUUAACACAUGCAAGUCGAGGGGCAGCAUGUUGGUUGCUUGCAACCAAUGAUGGCGACCGGCGCACGGGUGAGUAACGCGUAUCCAACCUACCCUUGUCCAUCGGAUAACCCGUCGAAAGGCGGCCUAACACGAUAUGCGGUUCUCAGCAGGCAUCUAACGAGAACGAAAUGUGAAGGAGAAGGAUGGGGAUGCGUCUGAUUAGCUUGGUUGGCGGGGUAACGCCCACCAAGGCGACGAUCGAGUAGGGGUUCUGAGAGGAAGGUCCCCCANAUUGGAACUGAGACACGGUCCAAACUCCUAGGGAGCA
RNAcentral lists this ribosomal RNA (348 nucleotides) under uncultured bacterium. Its description in RNAcentral is "bacterial SSU rRNA". It matches the Rfam family "Bacterial small subunit ribosomal RNA", at positions 8 to 349 of the family's 1533-position model. The record is from RNAcentral.